This 486-nucleotide ribosomal RNA is filed under the name uncultured bacterium. Its description in RNAcentral is "partial 16S ribosomal RNA". It matches the Rfam family "Bacterial small subunit ribosomal RNA", at positions 29 to 507 of the family's 1533-position model. The record is from RNAcentral.
AUUGAACGCUGGCGGCAUGCCUUACACAUGCAAGUCGAACGGCAGCACGGGUGCUUGCACCUGGUGGCGAGUGGCGAACGGGUGAGUAAUACAUCGGAACAUGUCCUGUUGUGGGGGAUAGCCCGGCGAAAGCCGGAUUUAUACCGCAUACGAUCUACGGAUGAAAGCGGGGGCCCUUCGGGCCUCGCGCUUUUGUGUUGGCCGAUGGCUGAUUAGCUAGUUGGUGGGGUAAAGGCCUACCAAGGCGACGAUCAGUAUCUGGUCUGAGAGGACGACCAGCCACACUGGGACUGAGACACGGCAAAGACUCCUACGGGAGGCAGCAGUGGGGAAUAUUGGACAAGGGGGGAAAGCCGGAUCCAGCAAUGCCGCGGGUGGGAAGAAGGACUUCGGGUUGUAAAGCACUUUUGUCCGGAAAGAAAUAAAGGGACCUAAUACGGUCGGGGGAUGACGGUACCGGAAGAAUAAGCACCGGCUAACUACGUG